RNAcentral lists this ribosomal RNA (745 nucleotides) under uncultured bacterium. RNAcentral describes it as "bacterial SSU rRNA". It matches the Rfam family "Bacterial small subunit ribosomal RNA", at positions 78 to 810 of the family's 1533-position model. The record is from RNAcentral.
CUUCGGCCUGGGGCAAAGCCGCGAACGGGUGAGUAACACGUGGGUAACCUGCUCCGAAGACCGGGACAACUCGAGGAAACUCGGGCUAAUACCGGAUGUGGUCGCCGUUCACAAGAACGGCGAGCAAAGGGAGCUUCGGCCCCCGCUUCAGGUUGGGCCCGCGGCCUAUUAGCUUGUUGGUGAGGUAAAGGCUCACCAAGGCGACGAUAGGUAGCUGGUCUGAGAGGACGAUCAGCCACACUGGGACUGAGAUACGGCCCAGACUCCUACGGGAGGCAGCAGUGGGGAAUCUUGCGCAAUGGGCGACAGCCUGACGCAGCAACGCCGCGUGGGGGAAGAAGGCCUUCGGGUUGUAAACCCCUUUCGGGAGGGACGAAGCUUCGGUAGUUAAUAGCUGUCCGGAGUGAAGGUACCUCAAGAAGAAGCCCCGGCUAACUACGUGCCAGCAGCCGCGGUAAUACGUAGGGGGCAGGCGUUGUCCGGAAUCAUUGGGCGUAAAGCGCGCGUAGGCGGCUGGACAAGUCCGGUGUAAAAGCCGCAGGCUCAACCUGCGAAUGCCGCUGGAAACUGUCCGGCUAGAGUCCGGGAGGGGCGAGUGGAAUUCCUGGAGUAGCGGUGAAAUGCGCAGAUAUCAGGGAGAACACCAAUGGCGAAGGCAGCUCGCUGGAACGGUACUGACGCUAAGGCGCGAAAGCGUGGGGGGCAAACAGGAUUAGAUACCCUGGUAGUCCACGCCGUAAACGAU